RNAcentral lists this long non-coding RNA (601 nucleotides) under Populus trichocarpa (black cottonwood). RNAcentral's name for it is "long non-coding RNA (PTRI_LNC002923)". The record is from RNAcentral. Lineage: Eukaryota; Viridiplantae; Streptophyta; Magnoliopsida; Malpighiales; Salicaceae.
AUCCCUUCGUUGGCUACGAGAGACAAAUUCAGUUUCGUGUUUAGUGCAACCUUUGACACGUACCGGUUUAGUUCGUUGUGGCUGAGGAACAAUUGGGGUUAGAAAGUGGGUGUAAGUUUCUCUCUUCCCUUGAUUUUUAGGUCAAAAAUAUUUUGCUGUUCUAAUUUUUCUAUGUUUGUUUGUCUGAAGAUUUGCAAGGUCAAGAAAUUACGGUGGGAAUCAGAAUAUCUGGUGGCGGACCAGCUGAGAAGUAAUGGCUGCUGGACAGCUUACUUUUAACACAUGCUCUUUUGAGAUUUCUUUGGCCUAUGAGACACUGUCCAAAGAACAAAAGAAGAAACUCAUAACCACCUUCGUAUUGAAACAUAAUAAUUACGAACACCUUACUACACAGAGCAGGUAUGACCUAGCAUGCAGGGGACGAUGACACGAGGGAGAAAGGAUCACAUAGAGCAAAAAUAAAAUGAAAGCCUUAAUUUAGUCCUUAACUUAAUACCCAGUUUUCAAAUGGUUUCAAAUUGAAAGAUUUGAUCAAUUAGGUCCGACCAAUUUCAAUAUUUCUCAACAGGGUCUUUUUAUAAUUUUUUGUUAACACUUCCCC